This 208-nucleotide ribosomal RNA is filed under the name uncultured bacterium. Its description in RNAcentral is "partial 16S ribosomal RNA". It matches the Rfam family "Bacterial small subunit ribosomal RNA", at positions 524 to 727 of the family's 1533-position model. The record is from RNAcentral.
UACGAAGGGGGCUAGCGUUGUUCGGAAUUACUGGGCGUAAAGCGUGCGCAGGCGGCUUCUCAAGUCAGGGGUGAAAGCCCAGAAGCCUCAACUCUGGAAUUGCCUUUGAGACUGAGUGGGCUUGAGUACGAGAGAGGUGAGUGGAAUUCCCAGUGUAGAGGUGAAAUUCGUAGAUAUUGGGCAAGAACACCGGUGGCGAAGGGAGGGC